This 1121-nucleotide long non-coding RNA is filed under the name Ananas comosus (pineapple). RNAcentral's name for it is "long non-coding RNA (ACOM_LNC036911)". Lineage: Eukaryota; Viridiplantae; Streptophyta; Magnoliopsida; Poales; Bromeliaceae. The record is from RNAcentral.
UUUUUAAAUUUUUUAUUUUACUCAUUAAUUCUAGCUAUUUACUACUUAAAUCUUUCUUUUGAGCGAAUUUUAUUGGAUUAGAUACAACUAACUAAAACGCGAGUUUUUUAUAGUGAGAGUUAUAUGGUUGUUCAUAGACUGUUUAAUGAAGUUUAUAAAAAAUAUAUGCAUACGGAUAUUCGUAUCCGAUCUAAAUCCGUACUCGAUCCAUACGCGGUCUAAAGCGGGUAGUAUAUGAGUACUCACUAUCUAGACCCGCUCAAAUAGGUCCGAUGGGUAUAUUAUUAACUUAAAUAUCCAGACCCGAAUCCGAUCCGAAGUUAAAUGGUUAUGAUAUAUAUAUGUGUGUGUAGAGCUAUUAUGCUAUCGGAACUAUAGGAGAUUUGAUGCUUUCGAUUUUUGACCUUUGGAUCAAGAAUUGUAUAGUUGGGAUGAUUGCGGUCCCCUCUAAGGUUGAGUAGUACUCCUAGGAUUGAGUGGUCCCCGCAGGGUAAUAGUAUUAAUCCAAAGGUUGAAAAUGAUUAAAGGGGCUGAUCUAAGAGCCAAAAAGUCGGAAACACCAGAUUCUCUAUACUUCUGAUAGCAUAGUAGCUCUACUAUAUAUAUAUAUAUAUAUAUGAACUAGGCUACUAUGCUAUUAAUAGCACCAAGUCAUUGGUGCUACCAAGUUUUUGGCCAUUGGAUUAAGAGAUGUGCGGUUAGGAUGAUGUGGGCCCCCUAGGGUUGAGUGGGCUGUUGGUUGAAUAGUAUGAUCUAACGAGUGAAAAUGAUCAAAAGGGUAGAUCUAGUGGCGGAAAACUUGGUAGCACAAAGUGCUUCGUGCUGUUAAUAGUAUAGUAGCCGGACUAUAUAUAUAUAUUAUAUAUAUAUAUAUAUAUAUAUAUAUAGAACUAGGCUGGAAUACUAUCAAUAGCACCAAGCUAUUUGUGCUAUUGAUUUUUUAGCCAUUGGAUUGAGAAAUGGGUGGUUAGGAUGAUAUGGGCCCUCUAGGGUUGAGUGAGUGGUUGGUUGAAUAGUACAAUCUAACGAGUAAAAGUAAUCAUAGGGUUAAAUAUAACGGUGGAAAACUCGAUAGCACCAAAUCCUUGGUGCUAUCGAUAGUACCCCAGCCGGACUAUAUA